RNAcentral lists this transfer RNA (75 nucleotides) under Sphaerodactylus townsendi. RNAcentral's name for it is "tRNA-Ala". Lineage: Eukaryota; Metazoa; Chordata; Lepidosauria; Squamata; Sphaerodactylidae. The record is from RNAcentral.
UUGAGGAGAAUGGCCCAGAGGUAGAGCAUCUGCUUGGCAUACAGACGGUCCCAGGUUCAAUCCCCAGGAGGUAAU